This 659-nucleotide ribosomal RNA is filed under the name uncultured fungus. RNAcentral's name for it is "eukaryotic LSU rRNA". It matches the Rfam family "Eukaryotic large subunit ribosomal RNA", at positions 24 to 664 of the family's 3401-position model. Lineage: Eukaryota; Fungi. The record is from RNAcentral.
CCCGCUGAACUUAAGCAUAUCAAUAAGCGGAGGAAAAGAAACUAACAAGGAUUCCCCUAGUAACUGCGAGUGAAGCGGGAAAAGCUCAAAUUUAAAAUCUGGCAUGCCUCUGGCUGUCCGAGUUGUAGUCUGGAGAAGCGUUUUCCGUGUCGGACCGUGUAUAAGUCUCUUGGAACAGGGCGUCAUAGAGGGUGAGAAUCCCGUCUUUGACACGGACUGCCGAUGCUUUACGAUGCGCUCUCAAAGAGUCGAGUUGUUUGGGAAUGCAGCUCAAAAUGGGUGGUAAAUUCCAUCUAAAGCUAAAUAUAGGCGAGAGACCGAUAGCGAACAAGUACCGUGAGGGAAAGAUGAAAAGCACUUUGGAAAGAGAGUUAAACAGUACGUGAAAUUGCUGAAAGGGAAACGCUUGAAGUCAGUCACGUCUGCCAGGACUCAGCCUUGCUUCUGCUUGGUGCACUUUCUGGUUUGACGGGCCAACAUCAAUUUUGACCGUUGGAGAAAGGCUUUGGGAAUGUGGCACCUUCGGGUGUGUUAUAGCCCAUUGUUGUAUACAACGGUUGGGAUUGAGGACCGCAGCACGCCUUCAUGGCCGGGGUUCGCCCACGUACGUGCUUAGGAUGUUGGCAUAAUGGCUUUAAGCGACCCGUCUUGAAACACGG